RNAcentral lists this ribosomal RNA (504 nucleotides) under uncultured Anaerotruncus sp. Its description in RNAcentral is "bacterial SSU rRNA". It matches the Rfam family "Bacterial small subunit ribosomal RNA", at positions 1 to 507 of the family's 1533-position model. The record is from RNAcentral. Lineage: Bacteria; Bacillati; Bacillota; Clostridia; Eubacteriales; Oscillospiraceae.
CGUAGAGUUGAUCUCGGCGUCAGGACAGCUGCGGCGUGCUAACACAUGCAAGUCGAACGGAGCUAGACGCUGAGGACGUAGCUUGCUAUUGAAUCUUGUUUAGCGUUAGUGGCGGACGGGUGAGGUAACGACGUGAGCAACCUACCUUUCAGAGGGGGAUAACGUUUGGAACGAACGCUAAUACCGCAUGAUAUUAUUGGGCAGCAUUGCCUGAUAAUCAAAGGAGCAAUCCGCUGAAGAUGGGCUCGCGUCCGAUUAGGUAGUUGGCGGGGUAACGGCCCACCAAGCCGACGAUCGGUAGCCGGACUGAGAGGUUGAACGGCCGCAUUGGGACUGAGACACGGCCCAGACUCCUACGGGAGGCAGCAGUGAGGGAUAUUGGUCAAUGGGGGAAACCCUGAACCAGCAACGCCGCGUGAGGGAAGACGGUUUUCGGAUUGUAAACCUCUGUCCUCUGUGAAGAUGAUGACGGUAGCAGAGGAGGAAGCUCCGGCUAACUACGUG